RNAcentral lists this ribosomal RNA (758 nucleotides) under bacterium enrichment culture clone ADE_1. RNAcentral's name for it is "bacterial SSU rRNA". It matches the Rfam family "Bacterial small subunit ribosomal RNA", at positions 1 to 760 of the family's 1533-position model. The record is from RNAcentral.
UAGAGUUUGAUCCUGGCUCAGAUUGAACGCUGGCGGCAUGCUUUACACAUGCAAGUCGAACGGCAGCGCGGGCUUCGGCCUGGCGGCGAGUGGCGAACGGGUGAGUAAUAUAUCGGAACGUACCCAAGAGUGGGGGAUAACGUAGCGAAAGUUACGCUAAUACCGCAUACGAUCUAAGGAUGAAAGCAGGGGACCGCAAGGCCUUGUGCUCCUGGAGCGGCCGAUAUCUGAUUAGCUAGUUGGUGAGGUAAAGGCUCACCAAGGCAACGAUCAGUAGCUGGUCUGAGAGGACGACCAGCCACACUGGAACUGAGACACGGUCCAGACUCCUACGGGAGGCAGCAGUGGGGAAUUUUGGACAAUGGGGGCAACCCUGAUCCAGCAAUGCCGCGUGAGUGAAGAAGGCCUUCGGGUUGUAAAGCUCUUUUGUCAGGGAAGAAAAGGGAGUGGCUAAUAUCCAUUCCUGCUGACGGUACCUGAAGAAUAAGCACCGGCUAACUACGUGCCAGCAGCCGCGGUAAUACGUAGGGUGCAAGCGUUAAUCGGAAUUACUGGGCGUAAAGCGUGCGCAGGCGGUUUCGUAAGUCUGUCGUGAAAUCCCCGGGCUUAACCUGGGAAUGGCGAUGGAGACUGCGAGGCUAGAGUUUGGCAGAGGGGGGUAGAAUUCCACGUGUAGCAGUGAAAUGCGUAGAGAUGUGGAGGAACACCGAUGGCGAAGGCAGCCCCCUGGGUCAAAACUGACGCUCAUGCACGAAAGC